UUAUAGUGGGGGAUAGCCUUUCGAAAGGAAGAUUAAUACCGCAUAANAUUGUAGUAUCGCAUGAUAUAGCAAUUAAAAGGAGCAAUUCGCUAUAAGAUGGACCCGCGUCGCAUUAGCUAGUUGGUGGGGUAACGGCUCACCUAGGCGACGAUCCCUAGCUGGUCUAAGAGGAUGACCAGCCACACUGGAACUGAGACACGGUCCAGACUCCUACGGGAGGCAGCAUG
This 227-nucleotide ribosomal RNA is filed under the name uncultured bacterium. RNAcentral's name for it is "partial 16S ribosomal RNA". It matches the Rfam family "Bacterial small subunit ribosomal RNA", at positions 131 to 353 of the family's 1533-position model. The record is from RNAcentral.